UUGUUAUUAUGUCUCAAAGUUGAAAUUUGGGUUGCACUUCUACCUAUGAUGGACCAAUUCUUUGGCACUAUUGUGCUUCUAAGUUGAAAAACUAUUUUGAGAACCUGCAAUUCCCAAUGUGCAUGUCAUAUAUGUACUAUAGGCUAAUAUUUAUGUCAUGAAAAAUGGAAGUGGUCUAGGCAAAUAGGAUUUUAUCCCACUGAUUAUCUUCUGUUCCAUAAAAACAUCGCUGGUUUUCCUAAAUAAUGCAAAAUAGAUUGAUUUUUGUUAAGCAGCUGUAACCCUUAGGACAGGAUGGAUAUAUUUUCUCACUGCAUAUCUUAUCUAGGAUGGAAAUUAAAGGCUGCUUGGGUGAAGUUCAAACUGUAUAUUGAUAUGCUUGUGUUGUCUUUGAUUUAUCGCCAUUCUUCUAUUUCCACCCAUUGUACUGCUUCAAUUCGAAGAUACAUUGAUCCAUUUUUACCUUAAAAAUGGGCACUAUCUUGGGAUGCACUCAGGAAAAGUAGACCGAAGGAUAUAGUUGUAGGAUUGUCAUGGGCUUUCAGUACUUCUGCCGUGUUAAUUUCAACAAAGAAGACCUAAUUGUGUUCAGUUGACCCACUCCCAUUUUGGGAUGUGUGUGCAUCAAUAUUGAAAGAGUGGACCAAAUUUGGUCAACUAUCUUAGAAUGCACCCAGUUCAGAAACUCCAGCAUUCCAUGCUUUACUCGGUACUAGAUGCCAGCUGUACAGUGAUGUCUGUUUGAUCAAGCAAUAUGUUCCCUUAGGAGUCGCAUGACUUUAUUAACUGAACAAUAAGCCACCUACAUCGCCUGAACUGAACUGACAAGAUAGACUUUUGAUGAAAUUGAACAUUGCAUAAGAGUUUUUCAAUGUUGUCAUCUCCAGCUCCACUUUACAUAUCUUCAUCUCAUCUUCGUAUCAUGAGAGUAAGAGGUCAUAAUAUUAUGCAUAAAUACUUCAAUAGAAUUUGUGAGUUACUCAUGAUUCAUCACUUUAUUCUUCUGAUUUUUUUCCCGUUUUGCGACCUUUGAUUGACUUUUGUGUUACUAGAUAUGACAAUUGCGCAGAUUCAGAGCUUGCCUACUAGGACAUGCUGAUACAACUAUAUUCUCAAGAGUAUGGUACAAGCCAAGGUGGGUCAUUUUGAGCAAACAUGUUCAGUCUGCCUUGACAAAUGGCCAUCGCAUCGUUUGCGGCACUUCUUGAUGGGAUCAGAGUGGCGACAGCAAAAAGAUUAAUAGUGGAUCCGUUGUCGGAGGAUGGAAAUAUCAUGUGUGUGCUCAACGACUUGGAAGGGAAGCUUGGGUACUGAUGAGCUGAGUUGAGAUGCGGAAGCAGCCUAGGUACUCAUGAGCUGAGCUGAGCUGAGAUGCGGAAAGACAAUCUUAGAACUAGGGCCAAGAGGUGUAUAUAAAGGGAACCAACAGAUAGAUUUGUAGCAUUUUUGGCCUCCUCUUUUCAUGCCCAAAAAUGUUCACAUGCGAUAUUAACAUGUGAUGCCAUUUCCAAUAGAAAAGUUUCAUUGCAAUUAGGUUGAUUUUAACAUGUAACACAACAUACAGGCUUAUAAAUGUUGCAUGGUACUUGUUUAUGUU
This is a long non-coding RNA of Lolium perenne, 1597 nucleotides long. RefSeq lists it as uncharacterized. Lineage: Eukaryota; Viridiplantae; Streptophyta; Magnoliopsida; Poales; Poaceae. The record is from RefSeq and is a predicted model, not a curated record.